CCCAGAGGUAUUGAUGGGUGAACAUCAAAAAUUUGUUGUUUUUAGUUGAUUACACCAACCUGCGCAGAUGCGCAGGUUUUUUUU
RNAcentral lists this small RNA (84 nucleotides) under Winslowiella iniecta. RNAcentral describes it as "Erwinia iniecta OmrA-B family". It matches the Rfam family "OmrA-B family". The record is from Rfam by way of RNAcentral. Lineage: Bacteria; Pseudomonadati; Pseudomonadota; Gammaproteobacteria; Enterobacterales; Erwiniaceae.